GACGAACGCUGGCGGCGUGCUUAACACAUGCAAGUCGAACGGAAAGGCCCCUUUGGGGGUACUCGAGUGGCGAACGGGUGAGUAACACGUGAGUAACCUGCCCUUGACUUCGGGAUAACUUCAGGAAACUGGGGCUAAUACCGGCUAGGAAUCCUUGCUGCAUGGUGGGGGUUGGAAAGCUUCGGCGGUUUUGGAUGGACUCGCGGCUUAUCAGCUUGUUGGUGGGGUAGUGGCUUACCAAGGCUUUGACGGGUAGCCGGCCUGAGAGGGCGACCGGCCACAUUGGGACUGGGAUACGGCCCAGACUCCUACGGGAGGCAGCAGUGGGGAAUAUUGCACAAUGGGCGGAAGCCUGAUGCAGCAACGCCGCGUGCGGGAUGACGGCCUUCGGGUUGUAAACCGCUUUCAGCAGGGGCGAAGCUUGUGGUGACGGUACCUGCAGAAGAAGCACCGGCUAACUACGUG
RNAcentral lists this ribosomal RNA (465 nucleotides) under uncultured bacterium. Its description in RNAcentral is "partial 16S ribosomal RNA". It matches the Rfam family "Bacterial small subunit ribosomal RNA", at positions 28 to 507 of the family's 1533-position model. The record is from RNAcentral.